Molecule: ribosomal RNA, 256 nt
Filed under: uncultured bacterium
Lineage: Bacteria
Description: partial 16S ribosomal RNA
Rfam family: Bacterial small subunit ribosomal RNA
Source: RNAcentral
UACAGAGGGUGCGAGCGUUGUCCGGAAUCACUGGGCGUAAAGGGCGCGUAGGUGGCGCUCCAAGUCUGUGGUGAAAGCUCGACGCUCAACGUCGAGUCGGCCAUAGAGACUGGAGGGCUCGAGCACUGUAGGGGCAGAUGGAAUUCCACGUGUAGCGGUGAAAUGCGUAGAGAUGUGGAGGAACACCGAUGGCGAAGGCAGCCCUUCUGGGCCAACACUGACGCUCAGUGCACGAAAGCGUGGGGAGCAAACAGGA